CCUACGGGUGGCAGCAGUGGGGAAUAUUGCACAAUGGGGGAAACUCUGAUGCAGCGACGCCGCGUGAGUGAAGAAGUAAUUCGUUAUGUAAAGCUCUAUCAGCAGGGAAGAAAAUGACGGUACCUGAGUAAGAAGCCCCGGCUAACUACGUGCCAGCAGCCGCGGUAAUACGUAGGGGGAAAGCGUUAUCCGGAUUUACUGGGUGCAAAGGGAGCGUAGACGGGAGUGCAAGGCUGGAGUGAAAGGCGGGGGCUCAACCCCCGGACUGCCCUGGAACCUGGACGGCUGGAGUGCAGGAAGGGAGAGUGGAAUUCAUGGUGUAGCGGUGAAAUGCGUAGAUAUUAGGAAGAACACCAGUGGCGAAGGCGACUGACUGGACUGUAACUGACGUUGAGGCUCGAAAGCGUGGGGAGCAAACAGGAUUAGAUACCCCAGUAGUC
This 440-nucleotide ribosomal RNA is filed under the name uncultured bacterium. RNAcentral describes it as "partial 16S ribosomal RNA". It matches the Rfam family "Bacterial small subunit ribosomal RNA", at positions 338 to 795 of the family's 1533-position model. The record is from RNAcentral.